GGGGGGUCGUGCGUCUCGAGUAUAUAUAUCAUGUACUCUCUGACCACAAACAAAGGCCAUGCCGGCGAGUGGCGCACUUGGUGAGUAAUGCAUCGGAACGUGCCCAUGUUGUGGGGGAUAACUACGCGAAAGCGUAGCUAAUACCGCAUAAGCCCUGAGGGGGAAAGCGGGGGAUUCUUCGGAACCUCGUGCGAUUGGAGCGGCCGAUGUCGGAUUAGCUAGUAGGUGAGGUAAAGGCUCACCUAGGCGACGAUCCGUAGCGGGUCUGAGAGGAUGAUCCGCCACACUGGGACUGAGACACGGCCCAGACUCCUACGGGAGGCAGCAGUGGGGAAUUUUGGACAAUGGGCGCAAGCCUGAUCCAGCCAUGCCGCGAGAGUGAAGAAGGCCUUCGGGUUGUAAAGCUCUUUCGGCCGGGAAGAAAUCGCAUUCUCUAACAUAGGAUGUGGAUGACGGUACCGGACUAAGAAGCACCGGCUAACUACGUGCCAGCAGCCGCGGUAAUACGUAGGGUGCGAGCGUUAAUCGGAAUUACUGGGCGUAAAGCGUGCGCAGGCGGUUUUGUAAGACAGAUGUGAAAUCCCCGGGCUCAACCUGGGAACUGCGUUUGUGACUGCAAGGCUAGAGUACGGCAGAGGGGGGUGGAAUUCCACGUGUAGCAGUGAAAUGCGUAGAGAUGUGGAGGAACACCGAUGGCGAAGGCAGCCCCCUGGGCCUGUACUGACGCUCAUGCACGAAAGCGUGGGGGAGCAAACAGGAUUAGAUACCCUGGUAGUCCACGCCCCUAAACGAUGUCGACUAGUCGUUCGGAGCAGCAAUGCCACUGAGUGACGCAGCUAACGCGUGAAGUCGACCGCCUGGGGAGUACGGCCGCAAGGUUAAAACUCAAAAGGAAUUGACGGGGGACCCGCACAAGCGGUAGAUGAUGUGGAUUAAUUCGAUGCAACGCGAAAAACCUUACCUACCCUUGACAUGUCUGGAACCUUGCUGAGAGGCGAGGGUGCCUUCGGGAGCCAGAACACAGGUGCUGCAUGGCUGUCGUCAGCUCGUGUCGUGAGAUGUUGGGUUAAGUCCCGCAACGAGCGCAACCCUUGUCACUAGUUGCCAUCAUUUGGUUGGGCACUCUAGUGAGACUGCCGGUGACAAACCGGAGGAAGGUGGGGAUGACGUCAAGUCCUCAUGGCCCUUAUGGGUAGGGCUUCACACGUCAUACAAUGGUCGGUACAGAGGGUUGCCAAGCCGCGAGGUGGAGCCAAUCCCUUAAAGCCGAUCGUAGUCCGGAUCGUAGUCUGCAACUCGACUACGUGAAGUCGGAAUCGCUAGUAAUCGCAGAUCAGCAUGCUGCGGUGAGUGCGUUCCCGGGUCUUGUACACACCGCCCGUCCCACAAAUGGGAGUGGGUUCUCCUGAAGUAGAACUUAUAGCGGUGACGGUUGACCUAUAGUUUUUGCCCUCGCCAUC
Molecule: ribosomal RNA, 1460 nt
Filed under: Thauera aromatica
Lineage: Bacteria; Pseudomonadati; Pseudomonadota; Betaproteobacteria; Rhodocyclales; Zoogloeaceae
Description: bacterial SSU rRNA
Rfam family: Bacterial small subunit ribosomal RNA
Source: RNAcentral